GACGAACGCUGGCGGCGUGCUUAACACAUGCAAGUCGAACGCAGAGCGAUGGAAGCUUGCUUCUAUCACUCUUAGUGGCGCACGUGUGUGUAACGCGUAAUCAACCUGCCCUUCAGAGGGGGACCACAGUUGGAAACGACUUCUAAUCCCGCAUACGAUCUAAUCACGGCAUCGAGGAUAGAUGAACGCUGGCCUCUACAUGUAAGCUAUCACUGCAGGAGGUGAUUGAGUCUGAUUAGCUAGUUGGGGGGGUAACAGCCCACCAAGGCGAUGAUCAGUAGCCGGUCUGAGAGGAUGAACGGCCACAUUGGGACUGAGACACGGCCCAGACUCCUACGGGAGGCAGCAGUGGGGAAUCUUCCGCAAUAGACGAAAGUCUGACGGAGCAACGCCGCGUGAGUGAUGACGGCCUUCGGGUUGUAAAGCUCUGUUAAUCGGGACGAAAGGCCUUCUUGCGAAUAGGGAGAAGGAGUGACGGUACCGGAAGAGAAAGCCACGGCUAACUACGUG
This 510-nucleotide ribosomal RNA is filed under the name uncultured bacterium. RNAcentral describes it as "partial 16S ribosomal RNA". It matches the Rfam family "Bacterial small subunit ribosomal RNA", at positions 28 to 507 of the family's 1533-position model. The record is from RNAcentral.